This 389-nucleotide ribosomal RNA is filed under the name Pycnococcus provasolii. RNAcentral describes it as "partial Bacterial large subunit ribosomal RNA". It matches the Rfam family "Bacterial large subunit ribosomal RNA", at positions 121 to 560 of the family's 2925-position model. The record is from RNAcentral. Lineage: Eukaryota; Viridiplantae; Chlorophyta; Pseudoscourfieldiophyceae; Pseudoscourfieldiales; Pycnococcaceae.
GGGAAACCCAGCCAGUAUAAGCUGGUUAUCUUGCACUGAAUACAUAGGUGUAAGAGGCGAACCGGGGGAACUGAAACAUCUAAGUACCCCGAGGAAAAGAAAUCAACCGAGAUUCCCUAAGUAGCGGCGAGCGAACGGGGACUAGCCCUUAAGCUAGACAACUGGUAGGAGAAGGCUCUGGAAAGUGCCGCCAUAGUGGGUGAUAGCCCCGUAUCCGAAACCUGAGUCUGGUGAAAUCGAGUAGGACGGGACACGUGAUAUCCUGUCUGAACAUGGGGGGACCAUCCUCCAAGGCUAAAUACUCCUGACUGACCGAUAGUGAACCAGUACCGUGAGGGAAAGGCGAAAAGAACCCCUGUGAGGGGAGUGAAAUAGAUCCUGAAACCGUG